This 496-nucleotide ribosomal RNA is filed under the name uncultured bacterium. Its description in RNAcentral is "partial 16S ribosomal RNA". It matches the Rfam family "Bacterial small subunit ribosomal RNA", at positions 28 to 506 of the family's 1533-position model. The record is from RNAcentral.
GAUGAACGCUGGCGGCGUGCCUAAUACAUGCAAGUCGAGCGAACAGACGAGGAGCUUGCUCCUCUGACGUUAGCGGCGGACGGGUGAGUAACACGUGGAUAACCUACCUAUAAGACUGGGUUAACUUCGGGAAACCGGAGCUAAUACCGGAUAAUAUAUUGAACCGCAUGGUUCAAUAGUGAAAGACGGUUUUGCUGUCACUUAUAGAUGGAUCCGCGCCGCAUUAGCUAGUUGGUAAGGUAACGGCUUACCAAGGCAACGAUGCGUAGCCGACCUGAGAGGGGGAUCGCCCACAUUGGAACGGAGACCCGGUCCAAACCCCUACGGGGGGCCGCAGUGGGGAAUUUUCCGAAAGGGGGGAAAGCUUGACGGAGCAACGCGCGGUGGGGGAUAAAGGUUUUGGGAUCGUAAAACUCUUUUAUUAGGGAAAAAAAAAUUUGUAAGUAACUAUGCACGUUUUGACGGUACCAAAUCAGAAAGCCACGGCUAACUACGU